GCCGGGCGUGGUGGCUCACGCCUGUAAUCCCAGCAUUUUGGGAGGCUGAGGCGGGUGGAUCACUUGAGGUCAGGAGUUCGAGACUAGCCUGGCCAACAUGGUAAAACCCUGUCUCUC
Molecule: non-coding RNA, 117 nt
Filed under: Pan troglodytes (chimpanzee)
Lineage: Eukaryota; Metazoa; Chordata; Mammalia; Primates; Hominidae
Source: Rfam by way of RNAcentral